GAUGAAGAACGCAGCGAAAUGCGAUACGUAAUGUGAAUUGCAAAUUCAGUGAAUCAUCGAGUCUUUGAACGCACAUUGCGCCCCCUGGUAUUCCGGGGGGCAUGCCUGUCCGAGCGUCAUUGCUGCCCUCAAGCACGGCUUGUGUGUUGGGCCCCGUCCUCCGAUCCCGGGGGACGGGCCCGAAAGGCAGCGGCGGCACCGCGUCCGGUCCUCGAGCGUAUGGGGCUUUGUCACCCGCUCCCGUAGGUCCAGCUGGCAGCUAGCCUCGCAACCAAUCUUUUUAACCAGGUUGACCUCGGAUCAGGUAGGGAUACCCGCUGAACUUAAGCAUAUCAAUAAGCGGAGGA
This 347-nucleotide unclassified non-coding RNA is filed under the name soil metagenome. RNAcentral's name for it is "partial contains 5.8S ribosomal RNA, internal transcribed spacer 2, and large subunit ribosomal RNA". The stretch from base 1 to 119 matches the Rfam family "5.8S ribosomal RNA", at positions 35 to 154 of the family's 154-position model. The record is from RNAcentral.